AAUCAACGCUGGCGGCGUGCCUCAGACAUGCAAGUCGAACGCGAAAGUUCCCUUCGGGGAGCGAGUAGAGUGGCGCACGGGUGAGUAACACGUAGGUAAUCUACCUUCGGAUGGGGAAUAACAACCGGAAACGGUUGCUAAUACCGCAUAAUGCAGCGGCACCUAAUGGUGACAGUUGUUAAAGCGGGGGAUCGAAAGACCUCGCGUCUGAAGAGGAGCCUGCGGCGGAUUAGCUAGUUGGUAAGGUAACGGCUUACCAAGGCGACGAUCCGUAGCCGGCCUGAGAGGGCGGUCGGCCACACUGACACUGACAUACGGGUCAGACUCCUACGGGAGGCAGCAGGUCGGGAAUUUUGGGCAAUGGGCGAAAGCCUGACCCAGCAACGCCGCGUGAAGGAUGAGAUCCCUCGGGA
Molecule: ribosomal RNA, 413 nt
Filed under: uncultured bacterium
Lineage: Bacteria
Description: bacterial SSU rRNA
Rfam family: Bacterial small subunit ribosomal RNA
Source: RNAcentral